Molecule: transfer RNA, 77 nt
Filed under: Bacilli bacterium
Lineage: Bacteria; Bacillati; Bacillota; Bacilli
Also listed under: 1 other name
Description: tRNA-Ile
Rfam family: tRNA
About the family: Transfer RNA (tRNA) molecules are approximately 80 nucleotides in length. Their secondary structure includes four short double-helical elements and three loops (D, anti-codon, and T loops).
Source: RNAcentral
GGACCUUUAGCUCAGUUGGUCAGAGCUCCCGGCUCAUAACCGGUCGGUCCUAGGUUCGAGUCCUAGAAGGUCCACCA